CUCCCCAUUUUUAAUCGUGUACUGAAGGAACCAGCCUAAAUUUUGCAUGUUUGGUUGAGUCAAAUCACUGUGAAGAUCCCGUGUCUUAAGGAAAAUGACAGUCGGAGAUCCAAAUCAUCGAGCAGAAGAUCGUAAUAAACUGGGGCCAUCACAUCUGGUUGAGAAAGAACGACCUUGCGCCAUGCGUGCAUUCGCGCUUUUCGGUGUUCAGAAACAGAGAAAAUACCAUGGUAUUGGAGAUACCGUGGUAUAUUAAAACAGUUUUUUUAGCCAAACAACUCACAGUAAUAAGAACUGUAGCAAUAAGAAGAACCGUACUAGUAUUUGUAAAAUAUUUAGAAAAUAUUUUGCUAUCAAACGAGGCCUACGCCAUAUUUCUGACAGUCUUUUGUUUUGUAUUAGCUGACUGUAACCCUAUUACAGAGUUACAUAGGAAUAAACUCUAUUCUCACCCCGAUAAAAGAGAAAAACUGGUCGACGAGUGCUAGAGACGACGCACCGCCUGCAGCUUCCAGUUACACACAGGAUGAAACGCUGAUACUGUUCACCCACCGCCUGCUUGCUUCGCCCAACAUCCAGAGGUAGCACAGAGCCUUGAACCAGACGCAAAGCAGAGCUUUCAUUGGCUGGCUCUGCCUGCUGUUUGCCUACCUCAGCUUUGCAGCGGCGUUCUUUAUUUCGACUGGCGCCUGACGGAUACGUAGGCGUAGGCUGGGUUCAUCGUGCCAAUCCCGCGCGCCACCCACCACGCUGCUGUCCAUCCCCGCUCUGCCGCACUACCCAUCCCCGCUUCACCGCGCCCGAAUUUAAAACUCUUCCUUUGGACGGACGCGGAUUUCAUAAAGCCUACAUUUUGGGGCCUGAAAAAAAGAAAGCCUAAAUUUCGGUGUGCAGGCGCAUGCGCAGUCAUUUGCAAGCACGAUUAGUAUAUAUUUUUUUCUUUGAGAAACUGCAUCAGAUGGCAUGAAACAGUAGCCUUUUUCUUAGGUCAUAGUAUUAUUUUGUGUAUCAUUUUUUUGAGAGAAUUGUUUCGUUUAGACUUAAAUUGCAAAACAUGCUCAACACGCCUGGUGGGCCGAAUCCCGACCAGUAUGCUUAUCCAUACCACUAGUAAUAUCUUUUCUUGAUGCCUGCCUAUAUAUCUCCCUCUGCCGCGAAUGCUCCCAACUCACAAAGCUAGGAAGGAAUCUUGUAGAGAAGCGUAAAUGAGGUGAGGUCAUAAAAUCUCUGAUCGUCCCUCACGCUGGACUUGUCAGCUUUCACGCGUCUAUCAUCACGUUCAUCAUAAUUGAGAGUGGAAGCGUGCCUGGUCAAGGCUGCCCUGCGCAGGUGCAGCUCCUAGCUUACACUCUACGUGGUUGUGGAACCGAGGGAGUAGGACUCACGCGGAUACUUACAUACUUGGCGUCAUGUCACUCGGACAAUUGGCGUCAUGUCAAUCGUGGCACCUUUCGCGGAUAGUUUAGAGUUGGGCAAGCAACCACGGUGAUCCAGCGAACGAGCCUGCCAGUCACAACUCACAAAGCCCUAGCGGCGUCACGUGCCGCUACUAUAGGUGCUGCAGCUAGCUUGCAUUCCAUUGGAUGUCUCAUUUAUGAGCACUAGAUGACCCGUUGCGCCAAUGGCGCAAAGGCCGACAGCAAGCCAAGUAUUGUAAGAGUGGUGAUAGGAAAACUCAGACACAGAUCAAAGUAAUGAGUACUUAUUGUUGGUUACUGUUUCUGUUCAUGAUUAUUGUUUCUCCUGGAACAGUGUGUGCUAAAUGAUAGUGCUAUAUCCCUUGAGUGGAAGGUGGUCGCUGCCAGGUAGGGCAUGCCUCUUCCUUGCUUAGGAUACAAGCAACAUCCACCUUCAGGGCCUGAUGCAUAAGAAAUGGCCUCUCAAGAACCAUAUCCAUUCAAGUAGGCUGUAAAGGGAAAGAAAGAUAAAGAUAAACGAUUAACAAUGUUGAUAUCAUGAAGCAAGACAUGUGGAAACAGAAGCAAAUGUGUCACAUAUUGAAGAAAAGUAUUUUAACCAUUAAGAUGGGUACAGAAGCUAAUAUCGCGCUUAUUAUUACACAACUGAUUAAGUAUAAAUAAGUGAAGCAUUCGUUGGUGUACAAUAUUAGCAUGUAGGCCUAGGAUAUGGUUCCAUUCUUAGUCCAUCUGGAGCAGCAAGUAUAGUUAUUAUCUCUAGCAUAUCUUGCUUUUCAGACCAUCUGCAGAUGCCCAUAUAGUUAAAAGGCCAAAUGACCAAAAUACAAAUUCAGAUGAGGAGAUAUUAGCAAAUAAAUGCUUAGCAUUACAGAUAGUACAUAACAAUCAAAUUUUUGCUACUGAAGUGCAUGUCCUUUUCUCUGAAAUUAAUGGUCGGGUGGAACAUAUAUAUUCACCAAGUAUAUCCCCUCUUCUCAGACCAAGACUACACAAUGAGGUAUCAUCUGUUUCCUAAUUACACUGUAACCUGAAAUCUGUGUGCAUAUGCACAUGGGCAUAUCCAUUUUAUUCCUAAUAGGAAAAUAUGCCAAAACAUCGGUCACUUUCUCUUUUGAGCUGGAAAGACUGAUCACUUGGUUAAUAUGCAUGCAGACGCCUCUAAUCUAAAUAGAGGAACUGAAAAAUCCGUCACUAUGAUUUUAUUAACUAUAUACAUAUACAUUCCAGUCAAGCGCCAUUCUAGAAAAUGACAAGCUUAGCAGUGAUUUUCUUAAAUAUGCACCACCAAAUAUUGAAAGGUAGAAUAAUAUCAUCAUCCUUUUAGUUCCCAUCCAUAUGGAGGAGCAUAAAGAUAGCAAAAAUGUUAGUACUGUAUGCACCUUUUACUAAAGUAUCACCUUCAUAGCUAGCAAGAAAAAACGGAGCUUGGAAGUUCUGAAUCUUUUGUUGAUCACAACAAUGGUGUGAGCUGAUUGGAUAAGAAUAUAACAAAUAUUUGCUAUCUUCAUCUCCAGAGAGAGAACAUAUUCACAUGAUAAAUUAGCAGCCAAUUGUCCAAACUUAAAUACAGAAUGCAAUGCGAAGAACUGCCCACCUAAUCAUUGCCAACUACAUCGCCAGCAGUAUAUUGAGAGAAAUCAUCAAAUCUGGCCAGAACAAAAGGUUCCCAUGUAGCUAGCUUAAUUAGUAUAUGUCCAAAAUAUUGUUUCCAAAAAGAAACAUGAGUUACAGUUUAGUAGGAGCUGGGAUACACAUUCUUAUUAAAAUUAUUGGUUUAGAUCUGUGUAGCUUUCAAGGGGCUACCAAUCAAUCCAUAUGUCCAUCAACGCAAUACUUUCAGAAGGGCACCACUCAAUCCAUUUGAGCAUCUCCUUUUUGCAUUAAUAGAAGAGGAGCUAGCAUACCUGUAGAUGGGUUGGUGAUGGUGAGGUCGCCAGCAAGUAGACCUAGCUGCAGAGGACACCGCCUCCCCCGCACUGUAUUGCGUCAAACCUGGAAGUGCACAUAUUAAAGCAAGAGUUUAUCUGCCACAUAAGAAAGCACAUACAUAAAAGCAGC
This 3476-nucleotide long non-coding RNA is filed under the name Triticum aestivum (bread wheat). RNAcentral describes it as "long non-coding RNA (TAES_LNC021284)". Lineage: Eukaryota; Viridiplantae; Streptophyta; Magnoliopsida; Poales; Poaceae. The record is from RNAcentral.